RNAcentral lists this unclassified non-coding RNA (555 nucleotides) under Hevea brasiliensis (rubber tree). The record is from RNAcentral. Lineage: Eukaryota; Viridiplantae; Streptophyta; Magnoliopsida; Malpighiales; Euphorbiaceae.
UGGGAGAUAAAGAGUUGCAACAAAAUCAAUACUAAGAAAUUCAACCUCCAAAAGAUGUUUGAAGCCGAGUACUUAAAAGCCAGCUCUAUUUUCAGAGAAGCAACGUGACAAUCUUAUACCUUAUAAUCUUCACAAAGUUUUUAUCGCGCUUCUCUCCAUUUGGGGUCAGAAUAUGAUUGAUUCAUUUUCUCUCUCUGGUCCAUGAGAAUAUCAGACCCUAAAAUAAUCUUGGUGCUUGGAGAUGUUCCAUAAGCCUGUUUCUGCUUUGAGGAGAAUUUCAAUCUCAGAAGCAAUGAAUUUGUCAUCACGCCAAUAGAGCUUAAACCCAUGAGAGCUCCAGCGAUUGAUGGCGUCAGCAUGGUCCCAGUUACAGGAAGCAACACGCCAGCUGCUAUUGGAAUUCCAAUAAUGUUGUACGCAAAAGCCCACCAGAGAUUUUGCUUCACAGUCUUCAUGGUUAGCCUGCUUAGUUCCAAUGCAUCAAGCAACUGUGACAACCUAUUGCCAGUCAGUACAAUGGAAGACACCUCACCAGCAGCUCCAACACCUCCACCC